Molecule: long non-coding RNA, 561 nt
Organism: Haliotis rufescens (red abalone)
Lineage: Eukaryota; Metazoa; Mollusca; Gastropoda; Lepetellida; Haliotidae
Exons: 3
Source: RefSeq, a predicted model, not a curated record
GGUCAGCUGAUUGGUGACCUCGACCUCGACGACGGCUGGUGUCGUUGAAGCAGGACACGCUCGCUCUGUUCGCGAACCCCAGGUGUCAUCAUGGUGAUGUCGCACAUGGCGUCUCAGGGAACAUGGAGGUGGCAGUUGUACAGCACACAGAGAUAAAGUUCCUCGUAAGUUAUUCUCCAAAUUCCUAUCGCAAGAAAAGGAAUUUAGUCCGGCGAACCAACACGCACUCGCCACUGUGAACACAAAAUGAUGACACCAGGUGUUCUCGUCAAUGAAAAAAAAUAUUUCUUCUGUAUGUUAGGUGAUGAUAAUCCCAGAAAAAUUGUUAACAUACUUUGAAUAGUACUCAACGAAUCUGCAUCGUUGUUUCAUCUAUUGAGAAAAUCAUUGAAAUGCAUUGUGUAUUGUAUACCAUGGCACAACUGAACGAUGUCAAGUCUUUAAUGUGUAUUUUGCGUUCAGAACUAGGUCUGUGACAAUUGUCUGAUAUAAGUAACUUAUACUCAUUACUUUGGUGUAUGGGAGAACAUGUUGUAAAAGUGUAUGUCUAGCCUUGCUCCG